UUUCUUUUGGCAAGAAGUUGGUCUUUAUCAUGUGUACUAGUGGAGGGAAACAAUGGCAAGGAAAAUCUAAAAAGAGAAUAAUGCACAAGUCAUUUACAUCUGGUGGCCCUGGAAUGUGUUUUGUUGCUUUAUGUAAUUUGAACAGAGAUGUACCUGCUUGACAUCCCAAAAAGACACUUCGAAUGAAAUAAUAAAGUUUCCUAUAAAGACCUGAAUUACUUGUAUCCAGGAAGCACUUUGCUUAUCUUGCCUAACUUCACUUCUUCCAUCUCCUUUUUCCAAGCAGGAAAUGCAGUGAUUCGCCUAAUCCCAAACCUUCCUGCAAGGAGGCUCUCCAGUUUGUGCCUCCACCUACAUUAGAUUGGAUGCCUCUGCGUUAACGUGCAGCAUAAAUAGAGGAAGUUGAGAUGCUCAAGCCACUGUAAAGAGACUUGAAAAAAGUUUUCUUGCAAGUUACCGGAAUAAUCUACUUGCAGAUAAUUGAGAACAGAUUCUACAAGAAAUAGUUUCUUAUAUCUAGCAUGCAGUUUAGCUGUCUCUGGCUCUGGGAAGUCUCUCCUGGCACACCACACACCCCUCUCCCCCCUUCAAGCCCUGUCACUUCUGAGAUUGGGUUGGCUGCCUGCUAUUUGUACCACACCUCCCGUCCCCAACACCCUGGACUUUGUCCUUCAUGGCAUUUACCACGUGGAAGGCAAAUGCCUGUUUACUAAUCUGUGUCCCAGACCAGACUGAGAGCUCUCUGAAAGCAGGGUCGGCUGAGGUCACUGUUGUAUCCCCAGCUGCUAGAACAGUGCCAGGCUCAUAGAAAACUCUGGCGCUUCUAAAGGGAACUCCACCCAAGCCCAGCUCCAGCAGGAAAUACCAAAAACUGCCCCUCUGUAGUUUGGGUCAUGGCACUCUUGCAUGAAGGAAAGGAGUAACAACUAAACCGGAGAUUUUUACUUCAGUGAUGGUUGAAGCGGCACAUUCCACAAGAUGACCCUGGCCCGCCAUGCCCCCAUUCUGUGCCUAUAAAAACCCCCGAAACCCUAGUGGGUAGAGACACAAGCAGCUGGACGUCAAGAGGAGCACACGGGCAGAACAUACUGGCAGGCUCCAGCAGACCCUGGCAGGCCAUCCACCGGUGGAACAAGGAAGCCAGAGGAAUUUGGCCGGGGUGGUUGGAGUUGAGUCUGGCUACUGAGCAACAGACUCCAGGGAAAACCACCUUCCCACUCUGUCCCCCUUCUGGCUCCCCAUCCAUCUGCUGAGAGCUACUUCCACCAUUCAAUAAAACCCUGCACUCAUUCUCCAUGUAUUUUUGUAUGUAGGAUAAAAUUCAAAACACUUAACUGUGCCCACAUGUGAUGCAAUUUUUCCGAUACACUAAGGCAAGAACCCCAAGACGAAAAGCCCUCUGUCCUUGCAAUAAGGCAGAGUGUCUAAUUGAGCUGAUUAACACAAGCCGCCUACAGAUAGCAAAACUAAAAGAGCACACUGUAACACAUGCCCCACUGGGGCUUCAGGAGCUGUAAACAUUCACCCCCAGACGCUGCCGUGGGGUCAGAGCCCCACAACCUGCUCAUCUGCCUGCUCCCCCUAGAGGUUUGAGCAGCGGGGGGCACUGAAGAAGCGAGUCACAGCCCCAUGGCAUGCUCUGCGAGGGGGACAAGGG
RNAcentral lists this long non-coding RNA (1657 nucleotides) under Homo sapiens (human). Its description in RNAcentral is "HSALNT0150044". The record is from RNAcentral. Lineage: Eukaryota; Metazoa; Chordata; Mammalia; Primates; Hominidae.